GUGGGGAAUAUUGGACAAUGGGCGAAAGCCUGAUCCAGCCAUGCCGCGUGUGUGAAGAAGGUCUUCGGAUUGUAAAGCACUUUAAGUUGGGAGGAAGGGCAGUAAGUUAAUACCUUGCUGUUUUGACGUUACCGACAGAAUAAGCACCGGCUAACUUCGUGCCAGCAGCCGCGGUAAUACGAAGGGUGCAAGCGUUAAUCGGAAUUACUGGGCGUAAAGCGCGCGUAGGUGGUUUUGUAAGUUGGAGGUGAAAUCCCCGGGCUCAACCUGGGAACUGCCUCCAAAAAUGCAUGACUAGAGUACGGUAGAGGGUAGUGGAAUUUCCUGUGGAGCGGUGAAAUGCGUAGAUAUAGGAAGGAACACCAGUGGCGAAGGCGACUACCUGGACUGAUACUGACACUGAGGUGCGAAAGCGUGGGGAGCAAACAGGAUUAGAUACCCGGGUAGUCC
RNAcentral lists this ribosomal RNA (450 nucleotides) under uncultured bacterium. Its description in RNAcentral is "partial 16S ribosomal RNA". It matches the Rfam family "Bacterial small subunit ribosomal RNA", at positions 354 to 796 of the family's 1533-position model. The record is from RNAcentral.